GACCUCUGAUGGUGGCAGGGUUGCCUGCAGCAUACCGCUGGGGAGGGCGUGCACCCUUCCCAGCCUUGCCACCCAGGGCAGGCUCUGGAACCUCAGUUUACCCUGCUGAGAAGCAGGGACUGCUGCGUGGAUCAGGCGAUCUAUGUAAAGCCGCUGAUGUGAUCUCAUCUAGGACAGCUGAGAAGGAUACACCUAGAAUCUGCAUGCUUUUAACUCUAUCGGCAUCCCCAGGCCACAGACAGGAGACUUUCUGCAGAUCUGCACUUUGUGUUGGAAAAUACGUCUGCUUGUGUGUGUGCGUCGGCAGCAUUGCCAUAACCAGCAUUCACUUUCCUGACUUGCCCAGGCUGCAGCAUGCAAGAUGAGUGUCGCAUGGGUACCUCCCCGCCUCUUGGACUUUUAAAAUAGAGCCGUCUCUCCAGAACAGACGGGCACAACUAAGGCCAGAUCACUGAUAACAGUAUCAGUAUCUACAUGCUAAAGACACAGCCCGCCCCCUUCCCAUGGGGUUCUUUCCUUGGCAGAAGUCACCAAGGAGACUGACUUUGGGAGAAGUAAUUUCUCCCCCUUCCGGAUAUGUUUUGCUUAAAACCUAAGAAGAAAACUCACAAGACCAGACUAGGAAAAUUUCAGCCCCCAAGGAUAAUUUUUCAGAAAGUAAUGAGCACUGGAAAAUGAGGGCUAUAAAGGAAGUCUUUAGGUAAUAAUCAUAACUAUAAUGUUCACCACUUUGAAGUGCAUUAAUAUAUACUAAAAUUACAGAAAAUAUUAAGUCUGCUGCAGGGGAAGGGGGCGUGCUUUGGAGCUUGUGGCUAAACCUCCUGGACCAGCUCUGUUCUCCCGGCCACAGCUGGGGCUAUGUGGCCCCUGGCCUGUCCCUGCCCUCACAGAGACACCCACCCUAAGAGAGGAUCCUGUGCCCCUAGCUGGGGUCCAGUUGCAGACACCGUGAAUGUGGGAUGGAGAAUCAGUAUCCCCCGCAGCGGGCUCCUUUUGGGGCUGUGAUGUUUUAUAGCCUGGCAAGGGAAUGCCAAGACUCCCUGAGGGUCUGGCUCACUUUAUCAGGGUCCCGCUGCUUGAGAGCAGGAGCCUGGGAGGCGAGGUGUGUAGACGCCCCAGCCGGGGCCCCUCGAGGCUGCAGUCGGGCUGAGGCAUUCAUUCCUCCGCAGGGGCCCCGGGGCGGGAGCAGCGGGAGCAUGGCCAUGUCGGCUGCUUGCUUUCUCCUGCUGCCUGGCUCUCUCUGUUCCCCUCCUGACCCCCUUCUGCCUCUCCUGCGUUCCCCUUCCUCACUCCCCUCCUUCACCUUCAGAGCCAGCGGACUUCUCCAGGCUGCACGCAGGCGAGGGGCUGGCAAUUGCAGGUCAAGCAGGCUCAGCUCGGAGCAGCGGGAGGAAAGAUUUACGGUUCCUCCCUGCCCUGCUUGAUGGACAAUUAAAGCCGUGCAUGGUUGGAGGAGAGCAGUGUCGUGAAGAGUCAGGAUGGUCAGAAUAAAUCAGUCACCUCCACUUAGACGGCUGAGCUAGACUGCUUCCCCGGGCCUUCGAGGUGGGAGCCCCCUGGGGUGUGGCUUUGAAGGUUCCUGAAUGGACUGUUCAAGGGUUUGACAUACUCUGAGCUCCAUCAGAGUCAGAGCCUGAAGACCCCGGGGGUCUCCUCACAAAUGGGGCAUGUGCUGUAGGGAAUUAAGGGAAAAUUCUGGAUAAUGUGUUUAGAGGGCGUUUUGUCUCCAUGGUAUCUGGCAUUUGCAAGAGCCUCAAACCUGAAUGUUUGGAAGUCAGGAUAGUGGACCCCCACCUGCAAGCAGAGCUUGUGCACAUGUAUGUGUGCACAGGUGCGUGCAUAUCAGUGCACACAUGCACACGUGUAGAUUGUACAUGCAUGUGCCUGUGUGUAGAGUGUGCACACAGGCAUGCAUGUGCAUCCUGUAUGUGUGCAUGUGUGUGCAUGUAUGUGCACAUGCACAAGUGUGUUUCUGCAUUUGUGUACCCACAUGUACCUGUGUGCGUGCAUGAGCAUAUGUGUGUCGUACAUGUGUGAGCACAUGUGUGUGUCAUGUAUUGGUACUGGUGCUUGCCUCUUGGACAUCGCAGGCUCCACUUGUGUCUUUAAACACACACGCCCCUCUGCAAGGCUGCCGGGAGCUGGGCUUCUGAGCAUCCACCAAGCCCUGCGGCCGUCCUUCUUCAUUUGUUCUGUGUGUUAUUUCAGUACCUUGAAGACUCUGGCAAUUUCCUCAAGGAAACUUUGUCUUUGUGGAAAUGAGAUGCCAGCACUCCUCGGCCCUCCCACUGGCUAAUUGAUGAUAUGAUCCCGCGUGGGAGACUUGCCAUUCCUGGAAAUGCUCUUUAUUUCCUGGGCCCCCCCUGCCCCCUGCCCGCCAUCGUCUGAUUUCUACGAGCUGCUGCAUGUGAGGUGCAGGGCCAGGCAUUUGCUGUGACUCAGCCCAUGUGCCAGGCCUUUCAUUAACUUGGAUACUACAAUUAUGUGUGCCAAGAGACUGCGAGGGCCAUUUAGGAUUUUUCUCCCUUUAAGAAAAUAUUCCUUUUUCCCCAGCCAGGUAGCCCAGCCCUUUGCCUCUGCAGCUGUGGCCCAAGCACUCCUCAGCUCUCCCGGCACCAACCUGCAACAAACUCUUGUUGGGGGGCUGCGGCUCCGCCAUGGUUCUGUCGGAGGUGCUCAGUGGGUGGUCAAGGCAGCCUGCCCUUGGGAGCCGCAAGACGUGGCCUGCUGCGGUGGCUUCACGGUCACGGCACGAAUAGCAGCGUGCGUGCUUUUGUGCCUGUGUGAGCACAUGUACACCCCAUCGGCACACGCGAGGAUGACCUUUGGCACAGAACACCUGCUGCUGUGGCCUGCACAGAGAAGGGCUGACCCCAGGACAGCGGCUCCCAUUCGCCUCCACCAAGGCCAGCUGGACCCUUCAAGGGACCCUGAGAAUCUCCGAGUGUGGGCAGUGGGGUCGUGUCGUGCGGGGGUGGAGUUGCACGGGUCUCCUGUGCACCUACACAUGCGUGCUGGCCAGCAUAUUAGUAUGUUCGCAGGGGUAGCCUGACCCUCUUCCCCCACUUAGGAGAUGCGUGCGUGGAAACUUGCCCCCGUGGGUGUCUUGGGAUGAAUAUUUGGGAUCCUGGUGGAUCUGGAUUGCAGAGUAGCUGGGCACUGUAAGAGUUCCUGUAAAUGUUGGGUCUCCUGGGGAGGGGGAGGCAUGGAGCACUUCUCACUUCUGUGGGUGGGUGGAAGGUUGGGGAGGGGCCACACUGGCUCAAGAUCACCCCACAGGGAGCAACCUAAUCUGAGGACAGACCUGCCUGGGACUCUGUGGAACUGAGAUGAGACACUUGCUUCCCCCUUCAAAGGUCAUGAGAUUCUGGGGACACGGGCUGCCUUCCAUACGGUACCCACAAAGCUCAUUAAAAGCACCAUUCAGAGGCCUCGUUAUCUCAAAAAGGAAGGCAAGAGUCCAACCCACUAAGCACCAAAUAACAACUCAACAACUCAAAAACUUAUUUUUUUAAACUUCCUGGAGUUGCCAUGGUUACUUGCACGGUCCCUGCGUCUCUGUUGCUCUACGUGGAGCUGCUUGGAGGAGGAAUUAAAGCCUCCAAGGUUCACCCCUUGGAAGGGUCUGUUUAUGCUCCUCUGUGGAGGAAAAGAGCUGGAGAAGGUAGGGAUCUUCCAGGACCAUGGGAUGUGAUUUUCCAACAUUGCACUUCGGAGAUGCUGGAGACAGAAUUUGUCUCCCACGCUAAAAUAAUUAUAGCCAGGAGAACAGAGAAUACAUCAUUCUAAGUUAAGGUCCUUAACAACGAGGAGGGUGUGUGCGCGUGUGCAUGUGUGUGUGUGUGCGCGCACAUGUGCAUGUAUGUGUGCACAUGUGUGCAUGUAUGUGUGUGCAUGUGCAUGAGCGUGUGUGUGCAUGUGUGCACGUGUGCAUGUGUGCAUGUGCACGGUCAUCUCUGCAUUGCCACCACCUUCCUCCUGGAGUGCUCUUUUGUACUGGCCACGUGUGUAAAGGCAGUGGCACCUGAGGCCCCUGCACCUGUUGGUCACCCUCCAGCAGGCAGCGCUCCUGCUCCUGUGGCUUCUGCCCAGGCAAUGUUAUUGGAAGGCAGAUUUCUGCAGCAGGAUUUUGGGGAGAAUUGCUAGUGAGGGAUGGUGGAAAGAGGGUGGGUCAAGGAGGAAUAAUAAAGAAGCCAAGACUCCU
This is a long non-coding RNA of Homo sapiens (human), 4204 nucleotides long. The record is from Ensembl. NCBI's taxonomy places the organism in Eukaryota, Metazoa, Chordata, Mammalia, Primates, Hominidae.